GAUGAACGCUGGCGGCGUGCCUAACACAUGCAAGUUGAGCGUGAAGUUUAUAUUGAUUCUUCGGAUGAUUUAUAAAUGGAAAGCAGCGGACGGGUGAGUAACGCGUGGAUAACCUGCCCUAUACUCCAGGAUAACAUACCGAAAGGUAUGCUAAUACUGGAUAAUAUACAUUAGUCGCAUGGCUUUUGUAUCAAAGAUUACGGUAUAGGAUGGAUCCGCGUUCCAUUAGCUAGUUGGUGGGGUAAAGGCCUACCAAGGCGACGAUGGAUAGCCGACCUGAGAGGGUGAUCGGCCACACUGGAACUGAGACACGGUCCAGACUCCUACGGGAGGCAGCAGUGGGGAAUAUUGCACAAUGGGCGAAAGCCUGAUGCAGCAACGCCGCGUGAGCGAUGAAGGCCUUCGGGUCGUAAAGCUCUGUCCUAAAGGAAGAAUUUUUUGACGGUACUUUAGGAGGAAGCCCCGGCUAAUUACGUGCCAGCAGCCGCGGUAAUACC
Molecule: ribosomal RNA, 497 nt
Filed under: uncultured bacterium
Lineage: Bacteria
Description: bacterial SSU rRNA
Rfam family: Bacterial small subunit ribosomal RNA
Source: RNAcentral